RNAcentral lists this unclassified non-coding RNA (335 nucleotides) under soil metagenome. RNAcentral describes it as "partial contains 5.8S ribosomal RNA, internal transcribed spacer 2, and large subunit ribosomal RNA". The stretch from base 1 to 120 matches the Rfam family "5.8S ribosomal RNA", at positions 35 to 154 of the family's 154-position model. The record is from RNAcentral.
GAUGAAGAACGUAGCGAAAUGCGGUAAGUAGUGUGAAUUGCAGAAUUCAGUGAAUCAUCGAAUCUUUGAACGCACAUUGCGCCCCUUGGUAUUCCAUGGGGCAUGCCUGUUCGAGCGUCAUUUGUACCUUCAAGCUCUGCUUGGUGUUGGGUGUUUGUCCUUGCUCUAGUGGCGGGACUCGCCUUAAAGUAAUUGGCAGCCAGUGUUUUGGUUUUGAAGCGCAGCACAAGUCGCGAUUCAAGUCUAUACGCUAGUUUCCACAAGUCUUUUAUCACUUUUGACCUCGGAUCAGGUAGGGAUACCCGCUGAACUUAAGCAUAUCAAUAAGCGGAGGA